Molecule: non-coding RNA, 935 nt
Organism: Chelonoidis abingdonii (Abingdon island giant tortoise)
Lineage: Eukaryota; Metazoa; Chordata; Testudines; Testudinidae
Source: RefSeq, a predicted model, not a curated record
AUUCCCCACUGGCAGAGCCAAGUCACUACCACUGAGAGAAUCUUUGGACUGCUCUUGAGGCCACAGAGAGUCCACAGGGGAGAACGCGAUAAUGACAGUUAUCCACCCCAUUACAAAACAUAGGAAGUGCUUGUGGGAGGGGUGGAUAGUUACAUGAAAGUAAACAUUCUCUAGGUCAAGGGCCAUGAACCAGUCUCCUGUGUCUGAGGAUGGGAUUACGGUAGCUAGUGUCACCAUUCUGAAGUGUUAUGCUAGGACGCAAUUGUUCAAGAUCCUGAGCGCAACGGUUGGUCUCCAUCCUUCAUCUUUCUUCAGAACAAGGAUGUAAUUGGAAUAGAACCUUCUUCCGAUGAACUCUGGUAGAACCAGUUCUAUUGUUCACAGGAGAAGACAAUGAACUUCUUGACUUAGGAGUUCCUCAUGAGAAGGGUCCAUGAAGGAGGAUGGGGAGAGGGUUGGGAAGAGGGAUGGAAAAGAAGUGGAUAGAGUAACCCUCUUUGACAUUCUCUAAUAUCCACUUGUCUGAGGUAAGAAAUUCCCAGGCUAAGUAGUGGGACAGUCAAUCUCCAAAGAGGGGGUAGUCACACAACAGCUGAUUCAGAGUGGAAUGGAUUUCUUGAUGCCCUUGACCAAGGCACAUAAAUCCCCACUGAUUGAGCUUCUGGAGAGAAGAGUCCAUAUUUUCACUGAAGAGCUUAAGCUCUUUGAAUGGGAGAUCUUCCAUGGUAUUUUGAAAUUCUGGAAGACUGAAGAACUGGAGCCAGUAUGCUUUUCUCAUGACCACCAUUGUGAUGUGGACUUUCGGAGGCUGUGUCAGCAGCAUCUAGAGUAGCUUGUAGGGAGGUUUUUGCAACCAACUGUCCUUCGGCAAUGAUAGACCAAAAAUGAUUUUCUGGUCUUGUGACAAGUUGCUCAAUAAAAUGUAUAUAUUUGGA